Molecule: ribosomal RNA, 446 nt
Filed under: uncultured bacterium
Lineage: Bacteria
Description: bacterial SSU rRNA
Rfam family: Bacterial small subunit ribosomal RNA
Source: RNAcentral
GACGAACGCUUGCGACGUGCCUAAGAAAUGCAAGUCGAGCGAGGCAGCAAUGCCUAGCGGCGAACGGUCGCGUAACACGUAAGCAACCUGCCCCAAAGACCGGGACAACGUUCCGAAAGGAGCGCUAAUACCGGAUGCGCCCAUCUGUUGACAUCGGCGGAUGAGUAAAUCGAGCAAUCGGCUUUGGGAGGGGCUUGCGGCCUAUCAGCUAGAUGGCGGGGUAACGGCUCACCAUGGCGACGACGGGUAGCUGGUCUGAGAGGACGACCAGUCACACUGGAACUGAGACACGGUCCAGACACCUACGGGUGGCAGCAGUCGAGAAUUUUCGACAAUGGGGGAAACCCUGAUCGAGCGACGCCGCGUGGAGGAUGAAGGUCUUCGGGUUGUAAACUCUGUCAUUUGAGAACAAGGUGCAUCGAGUAACUACCGAUGCAUUGAUAGUA